Cinara cedri is the source of this 251-nucleotide non-coding RNA. The record is from the annotation of a GenBank genome assembly. Lineage: Eukaryota; Metazoa; Arthropoda; Insecta; Hemiptera; Aphididae.
CAGAAUUUCAAUCGCAGAUAAUUGUAACAACAAAAAUAAUAAUAAUUAUCUCUGUAAUCAAAAAAAUAACAUAGGUACUUAUUGGGUAAGUAUCUUAUCCGUUGAUGUAUUAGGUAUAUUAUAAAAUCGAUGUCAUAUUUAUAAAUUGUACCUACCUUAUAGGUAGUAGGGUCGCAACCCCUCCGGGUUUCAUCCGGAUAUUCCGGUUUUACUUAUAAAUAAGUCUACGGGUUUUGUGAAUUAUUCUCCGG